AGAGUUUGAUCAUGGCUCAGGAUGAACGCUGGCGGCGUGCCUAAUACGAUGCAAGUUGUGCGGUAACAGAGAGAGCUUGCUCUCUGCUGACGAGCGGCGGACGGCAGAGUAACGCGUAGGAACAUACCCAAACUGAGGGAUAACUGCUCGAAAGAGUAGCUAAUACCGCAUGUGGUCUUCGGAUUAAAGCUUCGGCGGUUUGGGAGUGGCCUGCGUCCGAUUAGCUAGUUGGUGAGGUAAUUGCUCACCAAGGCGACGAUCGGUAGCUGGUCUGAGAGGAUGAUCAGCCUGACUGGAACUGAGAACGGUCCAGACUCCUACGGGAGGCAGCAGUAGGGAAUUUUCCACAAUGGGCGAAAGCCUGAUGGAGCAACGCCGCGUGCAGGAUGAAUGCCUUCGGGUUGUAAACUGCUUUUCUGUGUGAAGAAUAUGACGGUAACACAGGAAUAAGGGUCGGCUAACUACGUG
Molecule: ribosomal RNA, 468 nt
Filed under: uncultured bacterium
Lineage: Bacteria
Description: bacterial SSU rRNA
Rfam family: Bacterial small subunit ribosomal RNA
Source: RNAcentral